This is a long non-coding RNA of Carcharodon carcharias (great white shark), 565 nucleotides long. RefSeq lists it as uncharacterized. Lineage: Eukaryota; Metazoa; Chordata; Chondrichthyes; Lamniformes; Lamnidae. The transcript is spliced from 3 exons. The record is from RefSeq and is a predicted model, not a curated record.
GUAAAGCCUGCAAGCAAUACUAGUUACCAGCACCAACUACAAGAAAGAUAUUGGGUGUGAUUAGAACAACCAAGAUAAUACCAAAUCCCAGGAAUUAAGAUACAAAGAAAAGGAAUACAGGGCUACAAAACUUACAAAAGAAGUCGUCUAUGCUGACACUCUACAGCAGUACUGAUGAUUUGCCGAUGGAUACCUGUGCAUGUCCGAGGUUGGUGAACGUGUAAUUUCCCCGAUGUCACAAACUUGGUCUACAAUCUACAGUCUACAAUCUUGUUGGCUUCUAUCUAGUCAUAGGUCCAUGGCUGGCAUCAGAGAAGCAUGAAUUCCUGGGUCUCUCUGCGGCAGGUCAAGCAGCUGGAGUCUCGGAUGCAUGCACAGGUGAAGUGGAGUGGACAAAUCAGCUACCAGUAUACAGUAAUCCGGUGCUCCCAAAGAUCCACAAAUUGCCUAAGAUUCUCCUCCAUUACAGUGAAUAAUUGGAGGUGCCACUAUGCUUUUUCUUCUUUUAGUAUUUAUUGCCCAUCCAAAAGUGAAAUUUUGUAUGACAACACUCCUGUGAUGUAAC